Molecule: non-coding RNA, 72 nt
Organism: Dipodomys ordii (Ord's kangaroo rat)
Lineage: Eukaryota; Metazoa; Chordata; Mammalia; Rodentia; Heteromyidae
Source: Rfam
GGGAAGGUGGCUCAGUGGUAGAGUGCUGGCCUUGCAUGCAGGAUGCCCUGGGUUUGAUUCCUCAACAUCCCA